GUUGAAACAAAUCUUAAAUGAUUUCAUAAUGAUUGAAAAAAUCGAAGAUAAAUUCACUUAAAAUAUUCAGAGAAAAUCGAUAUUGAUUAUAAUAAAUGAAUCACUCUGUAUAAUCACUGUAAUUCAGAAAAAGAACAUUCGGGUAAUUUUGUAUACACACGUUGAAAAUACCGAAAAUAUAAAUAGUGAUCGUAACUCGUGGUAUGUUUGGGCUUCAAAAAUUAUAAUAAGAAACAUUGCAUAUUUGCUGGGCAUCAUUGGAUUUAUACAGAGUGCCCCACAAAGAUAGACUCAUUAAAUAUCUUUAGGGAUAAUAAUGAUAAUCAAAUUGUGUUUUUUUUUUUUAUGUAUAUAUUACUCACAGGGAUAAGAACUACAAAUAAGUAUGUAUCAAAUAUUUUUAUGUUAUGGUAAAAAGCUGAAAAAAAUUAAUUUCCUUCAAAAAUCAACUUUAUACUUUUAUUAAACUCAUGAUUUUUAAUAACUUUUAAAGUUUACAGUCAAUUAGCCAUAACAAUAAUGACCAAUCACUGAAUGAGAUUACAGCCUCUGCUGUAUUUAUUGUUACUUUUCUCUGAACUUUAAAACUUUAUUAUAAAUUACAAAUAAAAUUUGAAAUAUCAAAAUGUUCAGAAAAAUAAACUUAAAUUUGUUUAUUUAACUAAAAUAAAAAUAUUUGUAGUCCUUAUCCCUGCGAGUAAUAAAAAAAAAAAAUUAAUACAAUUUUGAUUAUCUUUAUUAUCUCGGGAAAUAUUGCAGUACGUAUGUCUUCGUAGGACACUCUGUAUAUGAAAGUGCAUAAUGUGUUGUACAUGCCGUAGAGGGGCUUUCACAUUUUAUGUUACAGACGAAAUAUCAUCUUAAAAUAUUUAUUAUUUUGUUUUGUUUUUUUUAAUCAAUCUUUGUGCUAACUUUUCAGAACCGUAUUAUAUUCUAAAAACGAAUUUGAUGUACGUAUAAAAAAUCGAUGUCGAGUCGUUCGGGCACCUAACUCGGUUUUUACCUAAUUAACUCAUAAUGUGCAUCAAUUUCAAAACUAUAUAUAAUACAAAGUGUUCCAUUUAAAUGGAUACACUAACUAUCUCGGAAAGUAUUAACAUUUUUGAAACAUGUUUUAUACAAAAAUUAAGAAACAAGCAACUCUAUACAAUUUUACAUUUAUGUCAUUUUAGAAGUAAAACCACUACCUAUUUUUGAUUUUCAAUUAGUAACCCUUUGAUUUCCUUUAAUCUAUUGACGAAAUAUUCCACUUUUAAAUAUAGGUUGGACAGUGACGCUAGCCGGGGGUAGGCGUUAGGGGUUUAAACCUAAGUUUAAUAAGAAACUUAAAUCUAAUAAAUUUAUAGAGCCACUUAUAAACAAUUUUCAAAAAUCGUUCGCUAUUCUCUCCUCAAAGACGUAGCCCGAGUUUCAUCACUGAUAUAAUAUAGGUAGUUAUAGGUACUCGUAAUAAGAAACCAUGCAGUAAACAUUGUAGCAAUAUGUGUAUACCGUCAUUGUAGACGUAAUACUUACUUUUGUUUGAGGUAUUUAAAAAAAUAUAUCUCAAAUGAAAUAAAAUAAAUGAAUCGAUCGC
Molecule: non-coding RNA, 1576 nt
Organism: Cinara cedri
Lineage: Eukaryota; Metazoa; Arthropoda; Insecta; Hemiptera; Aphididae
Source: the annotation of a GenBank genome assembly